CUUUGGAAUUUUGAUGCUCUGCUCCGCCUUCGAAAAAUUUAGUUAAUUUUGUCAAACGAUUUUGAUUCUUGUUUGCUCCUUUAUGUCUGGGAUAGUGGGAUUUCAGAUUAUUCAUUCAAAUUAGGGAGUGUGCUGAGUGUUGGUGGGAGUGGGCCUUUUGAACUCAGAUCGGGCGGCCAUGGCGGACACUUUCCUGAAGGCUGCGCCGCAGUCACGGCUUGGGAUCCCAAGGCUGUAUGGUUUGACGUCGUUGAUGAGAUGCUGACUUGAUCCGGAGGAUUGGUUGUGCAGCUAGCGGAAUUCACUACACUUUUGCUCCAUGUGUUGCUGUGAGUUUUGCUUCUGUGACUAUCUGCGUCUUCACUCUUUUAUAUUGCUAUGGAAUUAGUUCUUAACACUGCAUCUGUCCUUUUAUAAAACUGAUUUUAGUAGUUGGUAAAUUUUAUAAUUUGGAGAGAUAUAAAUGUUUUAAGAAAAAUGCCUC
Long non-coding RNA from Salvia hispanica, 484 nucleotides. RefSeq lists it as uncharacterized. NCBI's taxonomy places the organism in Eukaryota, Viridiplantae, Streptophyta, Magnoliopsida, Lamiales, Lamiaceae. The record is from RefSeq and is a predicted model, not a curated record.